Molecule: ribosomal RNA, 433 nt
Filed under: uncultured bacterium
Lineage: Bacteria
Description: partial 16S ribosomal RNA
Rfam family: Bacterial small subunit ribosomal RNA
Source: RNAcentral
AGCGAACGCUGGCGGCAGGCCUAACACAUGCAAGUCGAACGAACUCUUCGGAGUUAGUGGCGGACGGGUGAGUAACACGUGGGAACGUGCCUUUUGGUUCGGAAUAACUCAGGGAAACUUGUGCUAAUACCGAAUGUGCCCUUCGGGGGAAAGAUUUAUCGCCAUUAGAGCGGCCCGCGUCUGAUUAGCUAGUUGGUGAGGUAACGGCUCACCAAGGCGACGAUCAGUAGCUGGUCUGAGAGGAUGACCAGCCACACUGGGACUGAGACACGGCCCAGACUCCUACGGGAGGCAGCAGUGGGGAAUCUUGCGCAAUGGGCGAAAGCCUGACGCAGCCAUGCCGCGUGAAUGAUGAAGGUCUUAGGAUUGUAAAAUUCUUUCACCGGGGACGAUAAUGACGGUACCCGGAGAAGAAGCACCGGCUAACUUCGUG